This 1751-nucleotide unclassified non-coding RNA is filed under the name Hevea brasiliensis (rubber tree). The record is from RNAcentral. Lineage: Eukaryota; Viridiplantae; Streptophyta; Magnoliopsida; Malpighiales; Euphorbiaceae.
UCUAGUCACACAGAGUUACCACCCUGAAAUUUUUCCCCAUCUCCCUAACCUACCUUCUCCGUACAAAAUUAUAAUUUAUAACAAUCCAUUCCUCAUUAUUUAUAAGAAAAAACCAACAAAACCAAUUUUCAAUGACAAUAAUCAUUUGUGGUCUAAGUUGAACAUGCCCUGAAAAGGAAGGGUGUGAGGAGUGAGAGGAAAGAGAACUGAUAGACAUUGGUUCCAUGGAUUUGAUGAUGGCUAAUUGUUGUGUAGAACAGCAAGAUUGGUUUCUGUACAUAGAAUAUAAGAUUGGCCAGUGAAUAAAAACUCCCAACAAUGAAAACCAAGAGGGCCAAGGAGAGGAUAAAAUUGAGGGGUUGUUGAGCGCAUUACUUCUAGCAAUUAAAGGAGCCUGCGAUUAAGCUCAGCUACACAUGAUAAUAAAGCUUCUCUUACUUGGAGAUUGUUAGAGUCCAUAUUGAGUGCAUCUUCAUAGAGUCGCUUUGCUUGCAUUAGCAACUUAACCUUCUCUUUACUAUUCCGUGGCCGUAAUCGAGAUCUUUGCUGCAGGACCACGCCCCAUCUAAGCAAAGCAUCUGGUGCAUAAACAUUGCCUUUGGACAUCAUCGCAUCAAAUUUAUCAAUUGCAGCCAAGAACACUUUGUCAGCAUCAAAAGCAGCUUCUGGUCCGAUAUCGGCAAUCAAUUGAGCACGAAAAGAGAGAGCAAGCCCCCAAUUAUAUAGUGCCCUUACAUCAUUCCCAUCAAUUGAUAAUGCCAUCCUAUAUUUUCUGCCUGCCUCCACAAGAAGUUCUUCACAUUCUUCACACACAUUAACAAGAGCAGAUGCAAUUUUAUCUUUAUUUGUUACUCGCUCAUCUAAGCCUUUCACUAUUCUAUGUUGGUUUUCAAACAAUAAGGGAUCCCUUCUUGAGAGGACAGUUCUCAAUUCACGGCUGAUCUUUAAUUUUAGUUCUCCAUGAAGGAGAUAUGUAUUGCCCAAUUGGCCAAUGGCCAACAAACUCAUAGGCUUCAUCGCCAGGGCUUUAGAGAGUAACUUGGCAGACUUAUAUAGUAUAAUCUCCACAUGCUCUUCAUCAUGUUUUCCCCUUAUACAUUCCUUGGCUUGUUUCAGAAGGUUGUUUGCUUCAGUAAGAUAACUGUCAAACAUCACAUCAUCUGAAACCAUUGAAGAUGAAGAGGAACCAAUUUCACUUUCUGAUACUGAAUGAUGAUCAGCCAACCAGGAAUCAUCAUUUAGCUCCUCUUCUCUGAAUUGAGAUCUAUAAGUUUCAUCUUCAUUAAUUUUCCUGCUGUGAGAAGACUUGUAACCUGCACUAGAUUGCUUCAACAUCUGCUCUUGUACAAAGGAAGAUUCUGUUUCCAUAUGUUUGUAACUGAAAUCAAAAUCCAUAGAGUUACGGAGAUUGUCAUGGGAUUUCCAUGUUUCAUUUUCUUUAUUUUGGUUCAUCUUCCAAGAGAUAGAUUGAUUAUCUACAAACCGCAAUCUGCUACUUUGGUAAGAAAACUCUUCAGCAUCAAUAUAUCUUUUUCCAUUCCCGGCUUUUUCUCCUCUGUUCAUUUUGGCAUUUUCUGAUAUUAUUCUGAUUCUUCUUUCACUGUCCCAAUCUAAAGCAGACUUAUUUGUUAAACCUUGAGAAAACAUGGAAGGCCUAUUUCCUUUGUCAUUAUCAACAGAAUUAAGAAUCCCUCCUUCCAUCACCAUAGUCGAGCUGCUUCCUUGAGCUUGAUCAUUUGCUAAACCCUGGC